RNAcentral lists this ribosomal RNA (553 nucleotides) under uncultured archaeon. RNAcentral describes it as "bacterial SSU rRNA". It matches the Rfam family "Archaeal small subunit ribosomal RNA", at positions 325 to 879 of the family's 1478-position model. The record is from RNAcentral.
ACGGGGUGCAGCAGGCGCGAAACCUUUACAAUGCUGGAAACAGCGAUAGGGGGACCUCGAGUGCCACCGUACAACGGUGGCUGUCGUUGUGCCUAAAAAGCACAAUAUAGCAAGGGCCGGGCAAGACCGGUGCCAGCCGCCGCGGUAACACCGGCGGCUCGAGUGGUAACCGUUAUUAUUGGGUUUAAAGGGUCUGUAGCCGGCCGGAUUAGUCUCUUGGUAAAUCUGGCAGCUUAACUGUCAGGCUUCAGGAGAUACUGUUCGGCUCGAGACCGGAAGAGGUGAGAGGUACUUCAGGGGUAGGGGUGAAAUCUUGUAAUCCUUGAAGGACCACCAGUGGCGAAGGCGUCUCACCAGAACGGAUCUGACGGCAAGGGACGAAAGCUAGGGGCACGAACCGGAUUAGAUACCCGGGUAGUCCUAGCCGUAAACAAUACUCGCUAGGUGUCGGCCACGGUGCGACCGUGGUCGGUGCCGUAGGGAAACCGUGAAGCGAGCCACCUGGGAAGUACGGCCGCAAGGCUGAAACUUAAAGGAAUUGGCGGGGGAGCAC